This 659-nucleotide ribosomal RNA is filed under the name Escherichia coli. RNAcentral describes it as "partial 23S ribosomal RNA". It matches the Rfam family "Bacterial large subunit ribosomal RNA", at positions 2131 to 2789 of the family's 2925-position model. The record is from RNAcentral. Lineage: Bacteria; Pseudomonadati; Pseudomonadota; Gammaproteobacteria; Enterobacterales; Enterobacteriaceae.
UUGAUGUGUAGGAUAGGUGGGAGGCUUUGAAGUGUGGACGCCAGUCUGCAUGGAGCCGACCUUGAAAUACCACCCUUUAAUGUUUGAUGUUCUAACGUUGGCCCCUAAUCGGGGUUGCGGACAGUGUCUGGUGGGUAGUUUGACUGGGGCGGUCUCCUCCUAAAGAGUAACGGAGGAGCACGAAGGUUGGCUAAUCCUGGUCGGACAUCAGGAGGUUAGUGCAAUGGCAUAAGCCAGCUUGACUGCGAGCGUGACGGCGCGAGCAGGUGCGAAAGCAGGUCAUAGUGAUCCGGUGGUUCUGAAUGGAAGGGCCAUCGCUCAACGGAUAAAAGGUACUCCGGGGAUAACAGGCUGAUACCGCCCAAGAGUUCAUAUCGACGGCGGUGUUUGGCACCUCGAUGUCGGCUCAUCACAUCCUGGGGCUGAAGUAGGUCCCAAGGGUAUGGCUGUUCGCCAUUUAAAGUGGUACGCGAGCUGGGUUUAGAACGUCGUGAGACAGUUCGGUCCCUAUCUGCCGUGGGCGCUGGAGAACUGAGGGGGGCUGCUCCUAGUACGAGAGGACCGGAGUGGACGCAUCACUGGUGUUCGGGUUGUCAUGCCAAUGGCACUGCCCGGUAGCUAAAUGCGGAAGAGAUAAGUGCUGAAAGCAUCUAAGCACG